CAUGGCCAAAUCAAAUGCUCAAACAAAUCAAACGAACGGAAAACUGCCACAUACCUUACUUGGAACUGGUAUUUGCAUAGUUACAAAAAGCAAGAACAAAAUUCUUAAUCUAUUGUUGUUGGUGAAUUCUUACACUUUAUAACCGACUUAACUUCAAUGUAGAUUUUAGACCAUGUCAUGAAUAGAAUAGAGAAAAAUACGGCAGACCGUCAACAAUGCUCCAAAAAAUUUUAAGUACAUUUCUUUUCAAUAAUGCGGAUAAAAUAGUAGUUUUAUUAAAAAUGAGAAAAUUGAAAGCACAAAUAAACCAAGAUAAUAUUAUUUAAAUCUUACGUAAAACAACAAAUUAACCAUUUCCAUUUGACCAACGACAAUAUUUAUACUGUUAGCUCUAUAAUAAUAAUGUGUAUUAAGUGCCAUAAAAAGAUGGAU
This 432-nucleotide long non-coding RNA is filed under the name Mytilus galloprovincialis (Mediterranean mussel). Lineage: Eukaryota; Metazoa; Mollusca; Bivalvia; Mytilida; Mytilidae. The record is from RNAcentral.